RNA transcript from Panicum hallii, 5028 nucleotides. It is a transcript of the gene named proteinaceous RNase P 1, chloroplastic/mitochondrial-like, with no coding region annotated. The transcript is spliced from 10 exons. Lineage: Eukaryota; Viridiplantae; Streptophyta; Magnoliopsida; Poales; Poaceae. The record is from RefSeq and is a predicted model, not a curated record.
CCAGCAAAACCCCAAGCCCAUCCACGGCGCCUUCUUUCAUCCCCGCCCGGUCUCGGCUGCCCGCUGCCCCCUACGCCGCCGUGCCAUCUUAAGCCAUGCGUGUCGCCGCGGCGGCGGCGGCGGGGACCCUCCGCCCCACGGCGGCCACCCUCCUCUUCUCCCCGCCGCACCAGCACCUCCGCCCCCUAUCGCUCCACCGCCGCGUCACCCAGCACCUCCCCUUCGCCCGCCGGCGCCGCGACUCCUACUCCACCGCCACGGUAGCCGCCCAGCAGGAGGACUCCGGCGGUGCCGGAGGCGAAGCCGAGGGCAAGGCCUCCCGCCGCCGCCGCGCCCGCGAGUCCCCCGAGGGUAACCUCCGCCACCAGCUCGACAUGUGCUCCCGCAACGCCGACCUCACCACCGCCCUCCGCCUCUACGACGCCGCCCUCUCCCCGGAUUCCCCCGUACCGCUGUCCCUCCACCACUACAACUGCCUGCUCUACCUAUGCUCCAACGCCGCCGCCUCCGACCCCGACAGCUCCGCCGACGCCGACCAGCGCGGCUUCAACAUCUUCGCCAGGAUGGAGGCCGACGGCGUCCAGCCCAACGAGGCCGCCCUCACCAGCGUCGCGCGCCUCGCCGCCGCCACGCGCGACCCCGCCAUGGACUUUGCGAAUUCCCUCACCGAACUGGCCAUCAAGCGUGAGGCCAGGGAUGAUUUCCUCGGCUUUCAGAGCUGGCUAAGUCGCCAUGGACCAUUUGAUGCUGUUAUAGAUGCUGCUAAUGUAGGCCUUUACAAUAGUAAAGCUUUCAGUUUUUCUCAGGUGAACUCUGUUGUAAAUGCUAUUCAGAGAAUAACUAAAUCAAACAAAUUGCCACUGAUAAUUUUGCACUGGAACCGUGUAAAUGGCGGUAAUGCAAAAGCUCCAUACAACCAGAAGAUUCUAGAGAGUUGGAGGAAAGCUGGAGCUUUGUAUGCUACCCCUCCUGGUUCCAAUGAUGAUUGGUAUUGGCUGUAUGCGGCUGUCAGUUGCCGAUCGUUGCUUGUUACAAAUGACGAGAUGCGAGACCACUUGUUUCAACUACUUGGCACUAGUUUCUUUCCCAGGUGGAAAGAGAAACAUCAGGUCAGACUAACCUUCUCAGGGCGUGGCCCUACUCUUCAUUUGCCGCCUCCUUAUUCAAUUGUUAUUCAGGAUUCUGAAGAUGGAAGCUGGCAUGUACCAACGACAACUGGCGAUGAUAUUGAAAAGCCGCGGCAGUGGAUCUGCUCUAAAAGAAAAUCUUGGGGUGCCCAUGCUCACCAGGUGCUCGGCGGAACGCACGCCUUGGGGUUCUGCAGCGUGGCUCGGUGUUCUGCGGAUGACCAAGCUGACGCAGAGCCACCACGGUUCACAGUGGUACCGGGCGACACUGCAGUGGAUGGUCCAGGCACAGGUGCGGGUGUGGGCGUGUCAGAGGCUGCCGAGAGGGUGUGCCGCGUCGUGUCAACCCAGCCAGAAUUGGGGAUUGCGUCAGCGCUUGAUGCGCUCCGGGUGGCUGUGUCGCCAGAGCUUGUGGCCGAGGUGCUAAAAAACCUGAGCAAUGCCGGCAUGCUAGCACUUGCCUUCUUCAGGUGGGCAGAGAGGCAGGAGGGGUUCAGGUACACAGCCGAGAGCUUCCACAAUCUGAUCGAAGCACUUGGCAAGAUCAAGCAGUUCAGGUUGGUGUGGAGCUUGGUGGAGACCAUGCGUUGCAGGUGCUUGCUCUCUAAGGACACGUUCAAGCUUAUUGUCCGGAGGUAUGCCCGGGCGAGGAAGGUCAAGGAGGCUGUGGAGACAUUCGAGAAGAUGAGCAGUUUUGGGCUCAAAACUGAGUUAUCGGAUUACAACUGGUUGAUUGACACAUUAAGCAAAUCCAAACAAGUGAAGAAGGGACACGCCGUCUACAACGAGAUGAAGAGGAAGGGCAGGUUUGUUCCUGAUUUGAAGACCUAUACAGUCCUCAUGGAAGGCUGGGGCCAUGAGAAAGAUCUGUUGAUGGUCAAAACAGUGUACCAAGAAAUGCUGGAUGCAGGCAUUAGGCCUGAUGUUGUGGCGUAUGGAAUGCUGAUCAGUGCCUUUUGCAAGUCUGGCAAAUGUGAUGAGGCCGUCAAGGUGUUCCACGAGAUGGAAGUGAGUGGUUGCAUGCCGAGCCCUCAUGUGUACUGCAUGCUUAUCAAUGGACUUGGUUCGGAGGAGAGACUGGAUGAAGCUUUGAAGUACUUUGAGCUUUAUAAGGAAAGUGGGUUCCCCAUGGAGGUGCCUACAUGCAAUGCGGUUGUUGGAGCUUACUGUAGAGCCUCAAAGUUUCAGCAUGCUUUCAAGAUGGUUGAUGAGAUGAGGAAGUGUAAAAUUGGACCCAAUUCCCGGACUUAUGAUAUAAUUCUUCAUCAUCUUAUAAAAUCGCAGAAAUUCGAAGAGGCAUAUGAUGUAUUCCAUAGGAUGGGGUCGGACAGCUGUGAGCCUCAGCUCAAUACAUAUACAAUGAUGGUUGGCAUGUUCUGCAGUAAUGGAAGAGUUGAUAUGGCAUUAAAGGUGUGGAAGCAAAUGAAGGAGAAAGGUGUCCUCCCAUGUAUGCAUAUGUUUUCGGCAUUGAUCAAUGGGUUAUGCUUUGAGAACAGGCUCGAAGAAGCUUGUAUAUAUUUCCAAGAGAUGUUGGACAAAGGAAUAAGGCCACCUGGUCAGCUGUUUAGUAAUUUGAAGGAAGCUCUUGUUGAAGGAGGAAGAAUUAGUUUGGCACAAGAGAUGGCUUUGAAGUUAGAUACAUUAAGGAAAACCCCUUUGCAUGGUUGAGGAAUUCUUUUUGUUCUUAAAAUGUCUGAAGCGAUUAGAUCAUUUCACAAUUACACACUAUUUGGGCUUGCAGUAUACAUUUGUAGCCCUAGCAAUUGGUGGAAGCAUUAGCAAUUCUAUCAAGGUUGUGAAGCAUGCAACCAAAUUUUGGGUUUGUGAUGUUGUGAAGGAUUGGCUCUCUAGAGAUUCUUGAUGGGGGCAAAGGAACUUCAGGCUAAGAUUAAGGAAAAGUAGAAGUGUCAUACAAGAGGGUGUAUGCAGGUAAAGAACUAGCACAUAAUCAAUUAUUUGGUGAUUGGGACAGAAGCUUCGAUAGCUUGUAUAGGUUUAAGGCAGAGGUGGAAAGGUCAUGCCCUGGUAGUGUUGUAGUAAUUGAUCAUCACACAAUUCAAGAAAAGAUUAGAUUCAACAGGAUGUUUUUUGCUUUGAAACCCUGCAUAGAUGGUUUCCUGAGGGGAUGCCGACCAUAUUUGGCAAUAUAUAGCACUUUUUUGACAGGAAGUUUAGAGGACAGCUAGCAUGUGCAUGUACAGUAGAUGGACACAACUGGAUGUAUCCAGUUGCUUUUGGAGUGUUUGAUGCUGAGACAAAUGAUAAUUGGAUCUGGUUUAUGACAAGGUUGAGAGAAGCAAUAGGAACACCUUAUGGUCUAGCCAUUUGUACAGAUGUUGGGCAAGCUGUUUGAUGACCACCAAUGGUUAGCAGCUUACUCUUGGUCUCCUUAUUUUUUUCGACAAUCAUUGCAAAGCAAUGGAUGAAGCUAGACCAGAUGCAAUGGAUUACCUAAGACGAUGCCAUAGUAAGAUAUGGACAAGAAGCCAAUUCUUAACUCACUGCAAGGUGGAUUAUGUCACCAACAACCUAGUAGAGAGUUUCAAUAAUUGGGUAAAAAGUUGGAAAGGCUUGAAUUUGGAUGAUUUCAUGGAUAAGAUCAGACAUCUUCUUAUGAAGAAGUGGUAUACAAGGAGGACAGUAUCUAGAAAGAUGGGAGGACUUAUUUUGCCACAUAUCAUGAAGAAGUUGAAGGAACAGAGCUUCAAUUUGGAUACGGAUGUGUUUGCAAGCUCAGAUGAAGUUGCAGAAGUGUGUGUGAAGGGGAGCAAUGGCUACAAGUGUGUGGUGAACCUCCAAGAAAAAAACCAUUCUUGAAGAAAAUUUGAAGUUUCAGGCAUUCAAUGUUUACAUGCCAUUGCAUUUAUCACUAAGAUGGGUCAGCCUUUGGAGAAUUAUGUUGACUCAUAUUAUACAGUAGAGAAAUUUAGAGUAGCAUAGGAAAAUCUCAUCCCUGUCCUUACUGACAAGGCUCAAUGGCAGCAAUCAGAUCAUGGCUUCUUCAUACAUCCAUCACAUCUGAAAUCCACUGCUGGUAGAUGAAAAAAAUGAGAGGUUCAAAGGGUUUACUGAAACCGGAACAAGCACAACACACAAGAAAGGGCAGCAUAGAUGUGAUGUUUGUAAAGGAUAUGGACACUGAUGGUACACAUGUAAAGAUGGUAACCCAGAUGACAAAGCCGCCCUACUAGCUGAAAGCUCAUGCAGGGGGCCUCCAAAAAGAAUAAGAAGAAAACAAAUGAAGCCACUCAAGAAUCAGUUGAGAAUAGUCUUGUACUUGCUAUCUCAGGACCUACACCCAUGUAUUUUCCUCCUAGCCAAGGAUGCUCCACUAAAUUGAGCUCAGGGAAAACUGAAAAGACAGCAUGUGGCUCAAGCCAAGCUGAUGCUCCCUCCACUGGGUUCCCUUUGGCAAUUUCCAGUGAAACACCACCACCUGCUCCCUCCCAACCAACAGGGAAGAGAAAGAGAGAAGGGAAGGCAAAAGCAAAAAAGACAAAGGCUGCAGUCACAAGUAAGAAGCAAUCUAUGGUGCCAGUGCCACCUCAAAGUCCUGCAAUGUGCACCAGAUGCAAGACUCCAGAAAGCCCUGCAAUAUCCACUAGAAGCAAGCGAAAAUUCUGGAUUGAAUAUUCAGCUAUUCCCACCUUUUGCUGUUUCUGUCAUGAGAGUUGAAUGAUCUGUGAGGGCAAAGCCAUGCUCAUUUUGUGUUGAGAAACUUGAUACUCAUGUGGCCUAUCUAGAACUCUUAUUUUGCUCUGUAUGGCAUGGUUAUGUGAUCUUUUGUAAUGAGAAAUUUGGUACUCAUGUGGUCUGUAUGGUGUGGUGAAAAAUAUAAACUCAUUUGUAUGAGAAUCCUUUGGAUCAUGUUUCAUGAUUAAUAUGACAUGCAUUUGGUCUU